Molecule: ribosomal RNA, 435 nt
Filed under: uncultured bacterium
Lineage: Bacteria
Description: SSU rRNA
Rfam family: Bacterial small subunit ribosomal RNA
Source: RNAcentral
AGAAUGAACGCUAGCGAUAUGCUUAACACAUGCAAGUUGAACGUUGUUUUCGAAUCAGAAUGAGAACAAAGUAGCGAACGGGUGCGUAACACGUGGGAAUCUGCCGAACAGUUUGGGCCAAAUCCCGAAUGAAUAAAAGCUAAAAAGCGCUGUUUGAUGAGCCCACGUAGUAUUAGGUAGUUGGUUAGGUAAAAGCUGACCAAGCCUACGAUGCUUAGCUGGUCUUUUCGGAUGAUCAGCCGCACUGGGACUGAGACACGGCCCAGACUCCUACGGGAGGCAGCAGUGGGGAAUCUUGGACAAUGGGCGAAAGCCUGAUCCGGCAAUAUGGCGUGAGUGAAGAAGGGCAACGCAGCUGUAAAGCUCUUUCAUCGAGUGUGCGAUUGUGACAAGACUCGAAUAAGAAGCCCCGGCUAACUCCGCGCCAGCAGCCGC